CGGCGUGCCUAACACAUGCAAGUCGAACGAAGCACUUCAGUUUGAGAUCGUCAGAACUGGAUUUGACUUAGUGGCGGACGGGUGAGUAAUGUAUGAGCAACCUGCCUUUCAGAGGGGGACAACAGUUGGAAACGACUGCUAAUACCGCAUAAUGUAUUUGGGUGGCAUCACCUGGAUACCAAAGGAGCAAUCCGCUGAAAGAUGGGCUCAUAUCUGAUUAGUUAGUUGGCGAGGUAACGGCUCACCAAGACUGCGAUCAGUAGCCGGACUGAGAGGUUGAACGGCCACAUUGGGACUGAGAUACGGCCCAGACUCCUACGGGAGGCAGCAGUGGGGAAUAUUGGGCAAUGGGCGAAAGCCCUGACCCAGCAACGCCGCGUGAAGGAAGAAGGUCUUCGGAUUGUAAACUUCUUUUAUGAGGGACGAAGGACGUGACGGUACCUCAUGAAUAAGCCACGGCUAACUACGUGCCAGCCGCGGC
RNAcentral lists this ribosomal RNA (481 nucleotides) under uncultured bacterium. RNAcentral describes it as "bacterial SSU rRNA". It matches the Rfam family "Bacterial small subunit ribosomal RNA", at positions 40 to 518 of the family's 1533-position model. The record is from RNAcentral.